GUUUUGCUCUGUGUCCAGUAUCCUCAGUGCUGUUUCGAAGAGACACAGAGCGAAAUAGCACUGAGUAUACUGGACACAGAGCGAAACAG
Molecule: non-coding RNA, 89 nt
Organism: Pelobates cultripes (western spadefoot toad)
Lineage: Eukaryota; Metazoa; Chordata; Amphibia; Anura; Pelobatidae
Source: the annotation of a GenBank genome assembly